This 553-nucleotide ribosomal RNA is filed under the name uncultured glomeraceous AM fungus. Its description in RNAcentral is "eukaryotic LSU rRNA". The stretch from base 143 to 296 matches the Rfam family "5.8S ribosomal RNA". The record is from RNAcentral. Lineage: Eukaryota; Fungi; Glomeromycota; Glomeromycetes; Glomerales; Glomeraceae.
GUUUCCGUAGGUGAACCUGCGGAAGGAUCAUUACUGAUUUGGCAAACCGAGCGUUAGCAAGGUUUUGCGAUCAAAACAUAUAUUUAAAACCCCACUCUUUUAAAAUGUAUAUUUCUUAUUUUGAAUGAUAAAAUUAAAAGAUCACUUUCAACAACGGAUCUCUUGGCUCUCACAUCGAUGAAGAACGUAGCGAAGUGCGAUAAGUAAUGUGAAUUGCAGAAUUCCGUGAAUCAUCGAAUCUUUGAACGCAUAUUGCACUUUCUGGUAUUCCGGAGAGUAUGCCUGUUUGAGGGUCUGUUAAAUAAAAAUCGAGGUUGUUGCUGCCUUUUUGUGUGGUGACGCUUUGGAAUUGGGUCUUCUUUACCUUCGGGUUAAGUGGCCUAAAAUUUUUACAUGAUUUUUCGAACGUAUUUAAAUCUUUUACGUACGUUUGGUUAUAUCGAAUAUAUUAGUUGUGGUCAUCCUCAUGAUUCACGUCUAUAAUUUUUUCAUUUUUAGACCUCAAAUCAGGUAAGAACACCCGCUGAACUUAAGCAUAUCAAUAAGCGGAGGA